RNAcentral lists this non-coding RNA (1026 nucleotides) under Sordariomycetidae sp. Its description in RNAcentral is "partial 28S ribosomal RNA". It matches the Rfam family "Eukaryotic large subunit ribosomal RNA", at positions 180 to 1443 of the family's 3401-position model. Lineage: Eukaryota; Fungi; Ascomycota; Sordariomycetes. The record is from RNAcentral.
UCUGAGUCCCCUGGAACGGGGCGCCAUAGAGGGUGAGAGCCCCGUAUAGUCGGACGCCUAGCCUGUGUAAAGCUCCUUCGACGAGUCGAGUAGUUUGGGAAUGCUGCUCUAAAUGGGAGGUAAAUUCCUUCUAAAGCUAAAUACCUGCCAGAGACCGAUAGCGCACAAGUAGAGUGAUCGAAAGAUGAAAAGCACUUUGAAAAGAGAGUCAAAUAGCACGUGAAAUUGUUGAAAGGGAAGCGCUUAUGACCAGACUUGCGCCGGGGUGAUCAUCCGUCGUUCUCGGCGGUGCACUCGCCCCGGCUCAGGCCAGGAUCGGUUCUUGUGGGGGGAUAAAAGCCCCGGGAAUGUAUCUCCCUCGGGAGUGUUAUAGCCCGGGGUAUAAUACCCCCGCGGGGACCGAGGUCCGCGCAUUGCGAGGAUCCUGGCGUAAUGGUCAUCAGCGACCCGUCUUGAAACACGGACCAAGGAGUCAAGGUUUUGCGCGAGUGUUUGGGUGUAAAACCCGCACGCGUAAUGAAAGUGAACGUAGGUGAGAGCUUCGGCGCAUCACCGACCGAUCCUGAUGUUUUCGGAUGGAUUUGAGUAUGAGCGUAGUGCCUUGGACCCGAAAGAUGGUGAACUAUGCUUGGAUAGGGUGAAGCCAGAGGAAACUCUGGUGGAGGCUCGCAGCGGUUCUGACGUGCAAAUCGAUCGUCAAAUCUGAGCAUGGGGGCGAAAGACUAAUCGAACCAUUAACCUACUAGGUGGUUGAGAGACCGGCCCGGGCCGGUCUAGUGCGCGGCGCGCGGCCGCGUGCGACACUGCCAAAUUGCGGGGACCUCCCAAGAGGUCCGGGGUACCGCGGACGCCCUGAAAAGGGCGGCACGCACCGGGGCUAACACCCCGGGUACGGUAAUAACCCCCGGACGCCGGGACGACCUGCAGCUAACCCCUACGGCGGCGCGCCAGGGGGGAAGUUAACAGACUAGACGGCGGUGGGUUCAGCGGGCGGUCCCGCUGGGCUUAAGGUAUAGUCGCGCCCCG